GUGAAUCAUCAAAUUUUUGAACGCAAAUUGCACUCUCCGCUGAUAGGAUGCCUGUUUGAGGGUCAGCCUAGAAAAAUUGACAUCGUUGCUGUUUCGCGUUGUCGUUCGUCGGAAAUUGGGGCAUUUUAAAUCUUUCUGAUUUAAUCGACUUAAAAUUUGCUUUUGGUUCUAUGAACGUUUCUAAGAUCUAUUUCGUUACACGUUUAAGGUAUCGAUUUUUACUAGACGUGACCGUCAUAUCGGAUCGCGUCCAUAAUCUUUCAUUAACUGACCUCAGACAGGUAAUGGUACCC
Molecule: unclassified non-coding RNA, 293 nt
Filed under: Glomus sp.
Lineage: Eukaryota; Fungi; Glomeromycota; Glomeromycetes; Glomerales; Glomeraceae
Description: partial internal transcribed spacer 2
Source: RNAcentral